AUGGAUGAUGCAGACAAGAUCGUGAAUAAAAUCUUCUCAUGGAUGGAUCUACAAAAGGACAGUAUAGACAAGUUGAACGAGCUAGCCACUCAGUUGGAGGAACAGCAGAAGACUAUCAAUGUCACUAAAGUUGUCGGGAGCUCAGUGUCUGUGGGUGGUGCAGCUGCCAUGACAGUAGCAGGUGUAGUAAGUGUUUUAACAGGAGGACUGUCGAUACCUUUGUUAGCUGGAACAGGAGUAGUGGCAUCAGGUCUCGGUUUGGCUACUAGUGUGGGUUCUGAUGUUGUUGGUGCUGUCUUAUCAAGUAGGACUAUGGAAGAGGCCACAAAUAUUUCAAAAAGCCUUGAUGCUCUUACAGCAGAAAUCACAGCACUCAUGGAGUCCCUCUUAACAAAAACAACAGGCAGACAGCAACGGGGUAAAAAUGUUUCUCCAGAAGAAUAUGUGAAGGAGGCGAUCCUGAGAGCAAUGGCCAAACGCAAGGGUUUGAUAUUAAAUGAGAAGGACAGUUUAAUCAAGCUGUUAUCUCAGCUGCCACUUGAGAAGAUCUUUAAGAACGACGUAGAAUCAGACCUCCUCAAAAAGUCAACAACGGAGGUGCCACUGCUUUCAGACUUUGUUACAGGGUUGGUCUCAGAAAAACUCAUGAAAUAUAGGGUCAGCAAAGCCAAUUCCCUGGGUUUAAAGGCAUCGACUACAGCAGUUGGAAAAAUUGGCACAGGGGCAGUAGGGCUUCUGUUUUCGGUUCCAGAGCUCAUCGAAAACUGUAAAAAUCUGAACAGCCAUGAGACAGAAGACAGUCGGUACCUGAGAGAGAAGGCUGGAGCAAUACAAGAAGCUUACGGAGCCAUGAAAUCAGAGCUGGAUGAAAUUGAGGCAACGUGUGCGAGGUUAGCUGACACGAAGUGGAAGAAGUACAGAAAGAGAAGCUGUUUGUGUUCAUGUGCUUCUUCAUCACCAUGA
Molecule: long non-coding RNA, 963 nt
Filed under: Oreochromis niloticus (Nile tilapia)
Lineage: Eukaryota; Metazoa; Chordata; Actinopteri; Cichliformes; Cichlidae
Description: lncRNA (ENSONIG00000032339.1)
Source: RNAcentral